Molecule: non-coding RNA, 350 nt
Organism: Pelobates cultripes (western spadefoot toad)
Lineage: Eukaryota; Metazoa; Chordata; Amphibia; Anura; Pelobatidae
Source: the annotation of a GenBank genome assembly
CAUGCACCCAUGUCAUAUUUUGGACAUUUUUGAAGCCGGCCAAUGUAAUUUACCCCCAUCAAACCAUAUAUUUUUGAAAAGUAGACACACUACGAUAUUUCAAAUGGUGGUAUUUAAACAUUUUCCAGGCACUAAUUCUACAAACAGUCUUUGUCAAAUGUUUGGGUAGUCAAAAUACCACCUUCAAAUGGUGGCAUUUUAACAGUUGCCAUGCACUACGGUAAUUCCUUCACCAGUCUUUGUCAGACUUUUGGGUAAUUACUUUUGUAACCGCGGCUGGUUCCCUUAUUUACCACUAUAACGUCUUAAAGCAUAGAACUUAGUAGGGCUAACCAUACAGAUAUCUUAGC